AUUGAACGCUGGCGGCAGGCCUAACACAUGCAAGUCGAGCGAGCGGCGGACGGGUGUGUAUAGUCUGGGAAACUGCCUGCUGGGGGGGGAUAACACCUGGAAACGGUAGCUCAUAUCGCAUAUCCCCUGAUGUGCCCCGAUGGGAUUAGCUGGGGGGUGGGGUAACGGCUCACCUAGGCGACGAUCCCUAGCUGGUCUGAGAGGAUGACCAGCCACACUGGAACUGAGACACGGUCCAGACUCCUACGGGAGGCAGCAGUGGGGAAUAUUGCACAAUGGGCGCAAGCCUGAUGCAGCCAUGCCGCGUGUGUGAAGAAGGCCUUCGGGUUGUAAAGCACUUUCAGCGGGGAGGCGUUACCCGCAGAAGAAGCACCGGCUAACUCCGUGCCAGCAGCCGCGGUAAUAC
Molecule: ribosomal RNA, 406 nt
Filed under: uncultured bacterium
Lineage: Bacteria
Description: partial 16S ribosomal RNA
Rfam family: Bacterial small subunit ribosomal RNA
Source: RNAcentral